Molecule: ribosomal RNA, 253 nt
Filed under: uncultured bacterium
Lineage: Bacteria
Description: partial 16S ribosomal RNA
Rfam family: Bacterial small subunit ribosomal RNA
Source: RNAcentral
UACGUAGGUGGCAAGCGUUGUCCGGAUUUACUGGGCGUAAAGCGCGCGCAGGCGGCACUGUAAGUAAGGUGUGAAAUAUCCCUGCUCAACGGGGAGGGUGCACUUUAGACUGCAGAGCUAGAGGACGGUAGAGGGGGGUGGAAUUGCUGGUGUAGCGGUGAAAUGCGUAGAGAUCAGCAGGAACACCCGUGGCGAAGGCGGCCCCCUGGGCCGAACCUGACGCUGAGGCGCGAAGGCUAGGGGAGCGAACGGG